Molecule: long non-coding RNA, 1464 nt
Organism: Rhinolophus ferrumequinum (greater horseshoe bat)
Lineage: Eukaryota; Metazoa; Chordata; Mammalia; Chiroptera; Rhinolophidae
Exons: 5
Source: RefSeq, a predicted model, not a curated record
GAGGGCUUUCCCUUGCCUUUGAAACCCGCUCUGUGCGUACAUGUGGCAGGCCAGAGAUGCCGGGGAGUUCCUGCCCGGUAUCCCAGCAGCCAUUUGCCUGUGGUAGACAGGAAUUCAGAUAACACCUACCAUACGUGACAUGGGUCUUAGAAGAUGGAGAAGAGAUGGACCCUGUCCUCAAAGAACCUAUGAUCAGGCACAACCAGCGAUAUUAUUUGCGGGAUGUACUGGAGAGGAGACGUGCGUCUUUGAGUGCAGCUUCAGAGAGGAGUAGCCACCGCAGUUCCCGACCUGUACAUUUCCAGCACCCAGCAAAGUUCCAGAUGGCAGGGCCUUCAGCUUGACUCCCUGACUGAAGAAAGCAUGAAGCACAGCAGAGUCUCCAGCUGAUCUGUUGCAGACAUAGAGCAUGAACAGGAAAUCAACCUUUGUUAACAUUUUAAGGUUCAUUGAACAAUUAUGUGGCCAAAUGGAGAGAAGAAGGAAAGGAGAGAAAGAGAAAAAGAAGGAAACAAAUUUAGGGACUUAUGGGUGGCAAUGUGGAAAUAAUAUUUGCAAAUUGGGGAAAUUGGUCUUUGCCUUUCUAGUUUAUAUUUUGAGCUUCCCUCUAAAAACUCCGUAUUCUAGUCACCUUCUCUGCUACCCCACUUUACUUGUUUCCCACAGUUGCCUUCUUUUCAGUACACCUUCUGAUUAGUUAUGAUGGGUUAGUUGUUCAGAUAAGAUGCAUCCUUGCUAUGGGGUGAAGGACUCUAUGAUCCCUCUUGAUUAACGUAAUGCAUACUUCUGUUGGCCUUCCCUUGGUGGCUCAUACUACACCUCAGUGGUAAUUCUAGGUCUCCAGGAUACACUAUUUGAAAAAUUAUAACUUUAAUUUCUUUAGUGGCCCUUUGGGAAGACACAAACCGAUUUUCACUUCCCAGUGCACAAUGAAAAUUCCAGAUCUCUUGUUCAAAAGUGAUUUAGAAUUUCAAAAUGGCCACAGCAGAGCAUUAAACCAAGAGUGAGGUCCCUCCAAGUAUGGGGCUCUGGGGAACUGCACAGGUCGCAAAGCCACGAAGUCAGCCCUUGUGUCGGAUACAGGAGUUAUCGAAGACUUCAAGUCCUACAAUGUCAGUGACAGUCAAUUCUGGUGAUACAGAAAUCCUCCCUACACUGGCAACACCUUCAUCUGCCUCCUCCUAUUGACGAGGUGUGUCCUAACUAUCAUAUGAAAGCAUGGACUUCCAAGAAUCUAUUGUCUAAGUAGUUUGAUAACCUUCAGGAAUGUUGCCUGCUAAUCUUUGUUCUCUGCAGAGAAAAUGGGAUGCAUUCCAGGAUCAAAGCAACAGCUUCACUCAGCUUCUUCCAACCACCCUUCAAGAUCCUGCUAUGGAUUGAAUGUUUGUGUCCCCACAAAAUGCCUGUGUUAAAACCUAAUCUCCAAAGUGAUGGUCUGUAGAGGUGAGGCUUUUGGGAAGUGAU